AGUAAAGGAUAAUUUAUUCCGAGGUAAAUGUAUAGGUGAAGUUCAAUGUCUUAAAUGGAGUAAAGGAGAAUUUUUCCUGGUUAAAUGGAGCAAAGGAUAAUUGAUUAUGAGUUAAAUGUAGUAAAGGCGAAGUUCUGUGCAUUAAAUGGAGUAAAGGAGAAGUGUUGUGAGUUACAUGUAUUAAUGACUAAGUUCUCUGCGUUAAACGGAGUAAAGGAGUCGUCGUUUGCAUUAAAUGAAGUAAAGGCGAAUUUUUCUGCAUUAAAGGUGGCGAAGUUUUCCGAGUUAAAUGUCGUAAAGGCGAAGUUGUCUGCUUUAAAUAGAGUAAAGAAGUGUUUCCAGGUAAAUGCAGUAAUGGCGAAUUUGUCUGCAUUAAAGGGGAAGUUUUCCGAGUUAAAUGGAGUAAAGGCCAAGUUGUGUGCGUGAAAUGGAGUAAAGCAGAACUUCUUUUGAGUUAAAUGUAGUAAAGUCGAAGUUUUCUGUUGUGAGGAUUAAAGAAGUUGUUUGCAUUAGAGUAAAGGAGAAGUUUUCGGAGUUGAAUGUAGUAAAGGCGAAGUUCUUUGCAUUACGUGAAGUAAAGGUGAAUUUUUCUGCGUUAAAUGGAGUAAAGGUGAAGUUAUGUGCGUUAAAUUGAGUUUUUGGCGAGAAGAGAAAAUGUUAUGUUGAAAAAGUAAUGUAAAAGAAAAUUCCUAUUUUUUUUCAGGUGAAUGCGGUUGGAUCGUGCAAGAGGUUUGUAAUGGCCAAGUGGGUGUGAUGGCCAGCUGUUGUUGACGAGCGCCUCUGUUACCCUGGAUUGCGUCUUAUAGUAUUGUUUGUGCUCAGCAGAGCAUUGUAGAGUAUAUGAAAUAUAGGUGUAUUUGAGAA
Homarus americanus (American lobster) is the source of this 864-nucleotide long non-coding RNA. RefSeq lists it as uncharacterized. The record is from RefSeq and is a predicted model, not a curated record. The transcript is spliced from 2 exons. Lineage: Eukaryota; Metazoa; Arthropoda; Malacostraca; Decapoda; Nephropidae.